RNAcentral lists this transfer RNA (64 nucleotides) under Brachionus calyciflorus. RNAcentral's name for it is "tRNA-Asn". The record is from RNAcentral. Lineage: Eukaryota; Metazoa; Rotifera; Eurotatoria; Ploima; Brachionidae.
GUUCUUAUAGUAUAAUUCAAUAUUUUAGUUUGUCGUACUAAUGAUCUCUUAUAGAGUAAGAAUU